AUGAACGCUAGCGGCAGGCUUAACACAUGCAAGUCGAGGGGCAGCGCGAUGUAGCAAUACAUUGGCGGCGACCGGCGGAAGGGUGCGUAACGCGUGAGCAACAUGCCCGUAUGAGGGGGAUAGUCAUUGGAAACGAUGCGUAAUACCCCGUAACAACAGUUUUCGCAUGGAGGCUGUUUGAAAGAUUUAUCGCAUACGGAUUGGCUCGCGUGACAUUAGCUAGUUGGCGGGGUAACGGCCCACCAAGGCGACGAUGUCUAGGGGAACUGAGAGGUUGGUCCCCCACACUGGAACUGAGACACGGUCCAGACUCCUACGGGAGGCAGCAGUGAGGAAUAUUGGUCAAUGGGCGGAAGCCUGAACCAGCCAUGCCGCGUGCAGGACUAAGGCCCUAUGGGUCGUAAACUGCUUUUGACGGGGAGCAAUAAGGGUGUCGUGACAUCCGAUGAGAGUACUCGUCGAAUAAGCAUCGGCUAACUCCGUGCC
RNAcentral lists this ribosomal RNA (486 nucleotides) under uncultured organism. Its description in RNAcentral is "SSU rRNA". It matches the Rfam family "Bacterial small subunit ribosomal RNA", at positions 29 to 509 of the family's 1533-position model. The record is from RNAcentral.